AGUCAUCCCUGACCCCUUGAGGGUCCUAAAGGGCCGUUGGAGACCACAACGUUGAUAGGUGGGGUGUGUAAGCGUAGCGAUACGUUGAGCUAACCCAUACUAAUUACCCGUGAGGCUUAACCAUACAACACCCAAGAAGUGUUCUG
Molecule: ribosomal RNA, 146 nt
Filed under: Aeromonas caviae
Lineage: Bacteria; Pseudomonadati; Pseudomonadota; Gammaproteobacteria; Aeromonadales; Aeromonadaceae
Description: partial 23S ribosomal RNA
Rfam family: Bacterial large subunit ribosomal RNA (bases 1-124)
Source: RNAcentral